Bolinopsis microptera is the source of this 694-nucleotide long non-coding RNA. RefSeq lists it as uncharacterized. The transcript has 3 exons. NCBI's taxonomy places the organism in Eukaryota, Metazoa, Ctenophora, Tentaculata, Lobata, Bolinopsidae. The record is from RefSeq and is a predicted model, not a curated record.
UCUGUACCCGAAUAGAAAUAAAGGAUUUUAAUGAAACAGUUUUCUUCCGCUCUGAAAGUGAACGAAUGACAAAACAGUCUAGAGAAUUCCUCGCCCUGCUGCAGAAGAUCAAUCCUGGGUUGUACUCACCAAAGCAAACCUCUUUUUUGUGUAUUCAGUGUCUUAACUAUGUAAAAGACAACUAUAACAGGGUGUACAGUGCUGUUUCUGAAAUUGACGAAUCUUCUUGUGAUGAAGAUUGAAGAAGCUAUUGCCAUCCAAGUGGAAAAAGUCCCGCCUUUGUCACCCUCGGCCUCCUCGAAUAGAACUAAGAAAAUGUGGAGACUUUCUUCAUUUAGUUCCCAAUCAAGUGGACCAGAUGUUGAUUUGUUUGAAAUGGACUGAGACUUGUGUUUCAUAUGCCAGGUUGAACAGACGUUAGAAACGAAAAAGGAUAGUCUGAUUCAAGGAAAAGAUAAAAGUUUCUUCGUCGAUUUCGCAACAUACUAUCUGUGGACAUCUACAGAAAUCGUCAGGAUCUGUGCAACAUCGAUGUUAAUCCUGAUUCGCACAUGAACAAGUGCCCUGUUCUUAACCCUGAGAGUCUCGGAAAAUAUCUCUAUAGCAAGCUAGGUAGAUAUCACAAAACGUGUCGUUUGAGGUACAGCAACUCGAGGGUGAAACAAUUGAAGGGUAAAUUAUCUGAAGCUGUAAG